GUAACGCGUAGUCAACCUAACCUAUGGACGGGAAUAACCUCGGGAAACUGAGAAUAAUGCCCGAUAGAACAUUAUGCCUGGAAUGGUUUAUGUUCCAAAUGAUUUAUCGCCGUAGGAUGGGACUGCGGCCUAUCAGUUUGUUGGUGAGGUAAUGGCCCACCAAGACUAUUACAGGUACGGGCUCUGAGAGGAGUAGCCCGGAGAUGGGUACUGAGACACGGACCCAGGCCCUAUGGGGCGCAGCAGGCGAGAAAACUUUGCAAUGUGCGAAAGCACGACAAGGUUAAUCCGAGUGGUUUCUGCUAAAGAAACCUUUUGUCAGUCCUAGAAACACUGAUGAAUAAGGGGUGGGCAAGUUCUGGUGU
Molecule: ribosomal RNA, 365 nt
Filed under: uncultured archaeon
Lineage: Archaea
Description: bacterial SSU rRNA
Rfam family: Archaeal small subunit ribosomal RNA
Source: RNAcentral